UACGUAGAGAGCAAGCGUUGUCCGGAAUCAUUGGGCGUAAAGGGUACGCAGGCGGUCUAUUAAGUCAGAGGUGAAAUUCCAACAGCUCAACUGUUGAACUGCCUUUGAUACUGGUAGACUUGAGGAUAAGAGAAGAAAACGGAAUUCCUAGUGUAGCGGUGAGAUGCGUAGAUAUUAGGAAGAAUACCGAUGGCGAAAAGCAGUUUUCUAACUUAUUCCUGACGCUCAGGUACGAAAAGCUAGGGGUAGCAAAACGGG
Molecule: ribosomal RNA, 258 nt
Filed under: uncultured bacterium
Lineage: Bacteria
Description: partial 16S ribosomal RNA
Rfam family: Bacterial small subunit ribosomal RNA
Source: RNAcentral